ACUCUAGUGUUGACCUCAAUCCACAUGUGUUGAGGUGGAUUGUGGUGUAAAUUAGUUUAUGUUACACCCCAAUCCAUCUCAAUACAUGUGGAUAGAGGUCAAUACUUGU
RNAcentral lists this microRNA precursor (109 nucleotides) under Zea mays. Its description in RNAcentral is "MIR5565 microRNA precursor family". It matches the Rfam family "MIR5565 microRNA precursor family". The record is from Rfam by way of RNAcentral. Lineage: Eukaryota; Viridiplantae; Streptophyta; Magnoliopsida; Poales; Poaceae.